AUGAACGCUAGCGGGAGGCCUAACACAUGCAAGCCGAGCGGUAGAUUACUUUCGGGUAAUUGAGAGCGGCGUACGGGUGCGGAACACGUGUGCAACCUGCCUUUAUCAGGGGGAUAGCCUUUCGAAAGGAAGAUUAAUACCCCAUAAUAUAUUAUUCGGCAUCGGGUGAUAUUGAAAACUACGGUGGAUAGAGAUGGGCACGCGCAAGAUUAGCUAGUUGGUGAGGUAACGGCUCACCAAGGCGACGAUCUUUAGGGGGCCUGAGAGGGUGAUCCCCCACACUGGUACUGAGACACGGACCAGACUCCUACGGGAGGCAGCAGUGAGGAAUAUUGGACAAUGGGUGGAAGCCUGAUCCAGCCAUCCCGCGUGCAGGAAGACGGCCCUAUGGGUUGUAAACUGCUUUUAUCUGGGGAUAAACCUACUUACGUGUAAGUAGCUGAAGGUACCAGAAGAAUAAGCACCGGCUAACUCCGUGCCAGCAGCCGCGGUAAUACGGAGGGUGCAAGCGUUAUCCGGAUUUAUUGGGUUUAAAGGGUCCGUAGGCGGACUGAUAAGUCAGUGGUGAAAUCCGACAGCUUAACUGUCGAACUGCCAUUGAUACUGUUAGUCUUGAGUAAGGUUGAAGUGGCUGCAAUAAGUAGUGUAGCGGUGAAAUGCAUAGAUAUUACUUAGAACACCAAAUGCGAAGGCAGGUCACUAAGUCUUAACUGACGCU
RNAcentral lists this ribosomal RNA (718 nucleotides) under Elizabethkingia meningoseptica. RNAcentral's name for it is "bacterial SSU rRNA". It matches the Rfam family "Bacterial small subunit ribosomal RNA", at positions 29 to 747 of the family's 1533-position model. Lineage: Bacteria; Pseudomonadati; Bacteroidota; Flavobacteriia; Flavobacteriales; Weeksellaceae. The record is from RNAcentral.